CAGCACGGGAGCAAUCCUGGUGGCGAGUGGCGAACGGGUGAGUAAAGUAUACGAACGUGCCCAGUCGUGCGAGAUAACGUAGCGAAAGUUACGCUAAUAACGCAUACGAUCUAUGGAUGAAAGCGGGGGAUCGCAAGACCUCGCGCGAUCGGAGCGGCCGAUAUCAGAUUAGGUAGUUGGUGGGGUAAAGGCUCACCAACCGCACGAUCUGUAGCUGGUCUGAGAGGACUACCAGCCACACUGAUGACUGAGACAUCAGACUGGCCCCCCACUGGCAGGCAGCAGUGUGGAAGUCUGCACAAUGGGCGAAAGCCUGAUCCAGCCAUAGCCGCUGUGCAGGAUGAAGGCCGUCUGGCGUUCGUAAUACUGCUAUGCACGGAACGUAAGGGUCUAGCCUCAUA
RNAcentral lists this ribosomal RNA (401 nucleotides) under uncultured Gammaproteobacteria bacterium. RNAcentral's name for it is "bacterial SSU rRNA". It matches the Rfam family "Bacterial small subunit ribosomal RNA", at positions 70 to 464 of the family's 1533-position model. Lineage: Bacteria; Pseudomonadati; Pseudomonadota; Gammaproteobacteria. The record is from RNAcentral.